Salvia miltiorrhiza (redroot sage) is the source of this 808-nucleotide long non-coding RNA. RefSeq lists it as uncharacterized. Lineage: Eukaryota; Viridiplantae; Streptophyta; Magnoliopsida; Lamiales; Lamiaceae. The transcript is spliced from 2 exons. The record is from RefSeq and is a predicted model, not a curated record.
CAAAAAAUUAGUAAUUAACCCUAGAGAUUUUUGGUGAAAUUCAAACCAUAAAAUUAUAUUCAGUUGUGGCCCAUUAUAACCAACGGAAAAAAUUGGGAAAAGUACUAUUGCUAAUAGCAAUCCACAGAAAUGGUGAAUUUUAUAUAAUGAAAUAAGGAGAAGGCUGAGCUACCUCAAACAAUGUUCGAUCAGUACCACCAGUUAUAUUCCACACAAUUCCAGUAGCUCUCUCUAUACCAAUAUCAAGCAAAGGAUCAUGUAAUGCAUUUAACACAGCAUCUCUAGCCCAGGUUUUGUCCUGCAUUAUAUAAAAAUUAAAAAUAAAAUUCCAACUUUUUUUUUUUUCAUGAGUGGUGUUUUAUUGCACUUGAAGAAAUAAAGCAUCAGAUGGGAAACUGCUGCAAAACAAAGGAUCCAGACUACAGAAAAUGAAAGAGGAGAAGCAAGCUUGUGAUUUUACCUUUGCAUCGGCUGAUUAAUGCUCACUGCUAUACUGCUUCGAGCGACCCUCGUUCUUUGUCAAUUCUGGAAGCAGGCUGAUAAUCGAUCCUUGGCCGGAACUUAGUGUUCUGUGAUUUUGAUUUGCAGGAAAUGAGUGAAGAAGCCCACUUGAGAUUGAGCUGCGAUUCUUCAAUCCCGUCCUCCCCGACUCACAAUUUGGUAGAUUUUCCAGCGAUUAAAUGCGGCGGCGAAGGGGUGCGGAUUUACGGCGGCCGGUGAGGCAGAAGUACCCGAAUGUGUGCUGGACGCUUUUGUGGGUUCGUGGUUCUGCGUUUGUGAAGAAUAGUUCUCGUUCAAAACUGAUCCU